Molecule: ribosomal RNA, 425 nt
Filed under: uncultured bacterium
Lineage: Bacteria
Description: partial 16S ribosomal RNA
Rfam family: Bacterial small subunit ribosomal RNA
Source: RNAcentral
GUGGGGAAUCUUAGACAAUGGGGGAAACCCUGAUCUAGCCAUGCCGCGUGAGCGAUGAAGGCCUUAGGGUUGUAAAGCUCUUUCAGCUGGGAAGAUAAUGACGGUACCAGCAGAAGAAGCCCCGGCUAACUCCGUGCCAGCAGCCGCGGUAAUACGGAGGGGGCUAGCGUUGUUCGGACUUACUGGGCGUAACGCGCGCGUAGGCGGACCAGAAAGUUGGAGGUGAAAUCCCAGGGCUCAACCGUGGAACUGCCUUCAAAACUCCUGGUCUGGAGUUCGAGAGAGGUGAGUGGAAUUCCGAGUGUAGAGGUGAAAUUCGUAGAUAUUCGGAGGAACACCAGUGGCGAAGGCGGCUCACUGGCUCGAUACUGACGCUGAGGUGCGAAAGCGUGGGGAGCAAACAGGAUUAGAAACCCUUGUAGUCC